GAAGUAUUCAGAGAGUAUGACUGAGCCUAUGAAAAUCUGAAGUAGGAACUGAGUGUAGAAGAGAUGAUGCUGAGAUAAGAAAAGCUCUCAUGCAUGCACCUAUCCAAAGGUAGCAUCGCCUAAAGAUCCAUUCUACCAUGUCAAAUUCCCAAAUUCUUGGAAACAGCUUCUGUUGGUUCACCGGCAGUUUAUCCUCGAGUCACUGCCUUUUCUUCCAGUAGGUGGCGAUGUGCUGAGAGAGGCUGGUCCCAUCAUUCCUUGCGGCAUAACAACUUGCCGCCAUGAUGCCGAGCGCCGCUGUGUCUGUGACGCGUCACACUGUGGUCGAGGAAAGGUUGCUGUGUUGAAAGGCGGUGCGUUCUUGAUAGCUGUGACCGACUGGUGCACGCCCUGACGAAGCUGAAGUUGUAAAGCGAAGCCUAUUCCUUGUUUCUCAUUUCUUCUCCCUUCUCUGAAACAGGCCCUAUGUCUGGUAGCAGCCAUGUGAUUUUACAAUUGAAGCUAUGUUAAAUUUUAGGAAUACG
This 524-nucleotide long non-coding RNA is filed under the name Fukomys damarensis (Damara mole-rat). Its description in RNAcentral is "lncRNA (ENSFDAG00000029456.1)". The record is from RNAcentral. Lineage: Eukaryota; Metazoa; Chordata; Mammalia; Rodentia; Bathyergidae.